Molecule: ribosomal RNA, 393 nt
Filed under: uncultured bacterium
Lineage: Bacteria
Description: partial 16S ribosomal RNA
Rfam family: Bacterial small subunit ribosomal RNA
Source: RNAcentral
AUACGGAGGAUGCGAGCGUUAUCCGGAUUUAUUGGGUUUAAAGGGUGCGUAGGCUGUGCGUUAAGUCAGGGGUGAAAUGCCGCCGCUCAACGACGGAGCUGCCCUUGAUACUGGCGUGCUGGAGUACGGAUGCCGUUGGAGGAAUGAGUGGUGUAGCGGUGAAAUGCUUAGAUAUCACUCAGAACACCGAUUGCGAAGGCAUCUGACGAAUCCGUCACUGACGCGGAGGCACGAAAGCGUGGGGAUAGAACAGGAUUAGAUACCCUGGUAUUCCACGCCGUAAACGAUGAUGACUAACCGUCGGCGAUAGACAGCCGGUGGCCAAGCGAAAGCGAUAAGUCAUCCAUCUGGGGAGUACGUCGGCAACGAUGAAACUCAAAUGAAUUGACGGGG